This 292-nucleotide unclassified non-coding RNA is filed under the name Hevea brasiliensis (rubber tree). Lineage: Eukaryota; Viridiplantae; Streptophyta; Magnoliopsida; Malpighiales; Euphorbiaceae. The record is from RNAcentral.
UUGCGUGAAAAAGUUUGUGAACCCGAAGGAUUAAUGUAAACCAGGUCAAGAGGUAAUUGAUGAGAUGACUGAUUGCAAAUUCGGUCUGAGUGUGAAGUGUACUGGCCAUAUUGAUGCUAUGAUUUCAACAUUUGAAUUGUCCAUGAUGUGUGGUAGUGGCUGUUCUUAUUGGUAUGUACCCAUAAGGAAGCUGUGUUCAAGACACACUUUUGAACUUUUUAAUGAAAGAACUAUCAAAGUAACCUUCCUUGGAAAGUGGACACCUCGUUCGGAUAUUCCUUCUAUUGUUGAG